This is a long non-coding RNA of Oncorhynchus tshawytscha (Chinook salmon), 406 nucleotides long. The record is from Ensembl. NCBI's taxonomy places the organism in Eukaryota, Metazoa, Chordata, Actinopteri, Salmoniformes, Salmonidae.
CUGAAUACUCUCAGAAGGCGCUGUAGAUUAGUAGAAGGUGCAUUUCUUAGGUCUAGGUGUCUGAAUACUCUCCGAAGGCGCUGUAGAUUAGUAGAAGGUGCAUUUCUUAAUUCUAACCUUGAAACCUCUUGAAUUGUAUCAUUGAGUUAAUUUGAGUACUAGUCUUCCAAGUUAAAGGACAAACGUAAUGACGUUGUUCGGGAUAACAGUGAUAAGAUGUUGACAUGAAAAACAUUGACCACCAUGUGAAUGUUGACAUCAGUAUUAUUCCACCAUGUCAGAGGACUAAAAUAAUGUUCAUUAAUGCAACAUAUUAUCUGAAAAUGAAAUGAAUUUUUGUGACAGUGUUAGCCAUUAUUUGUUUUAACUGUGUUCGUGGAUGUUCAUUAUAUACAUCUAUGUACUG